This 822-nucleotide long non-coding RNA is filed under the name Ananas comosus (pineapple). RNAcentral describes it as "long non-coding RNA (ACOM_LNC000858)". The record is from RNAcentral. Lineage: Eukaryota; Viridiplantae; Streptophyta; Magnoliopsida; Poales; Bromeliaceae.
AAGUGAGGAUUGUGGAUAAAUGGGAUCAGAUCUGGGGAUAAUUCGGCGGGGAAAUGGUAGAAGAAUUAGAGCUAGAGAAGAGAGGUGUGGAAGAGAUGGGUCUGAGGAAGAAGAAGAAGAAAGAAGAAGAUAGAACUAGAAGGAAGAGAAAUUACCAAUUCAUUCCAUAUAUAUAAACUUCUCAAUCGCUACAUCUCCUACUUAUAGUUCCCUUUAGGGUUAAUUUCAUACAGGUCCCUGCAAAUGUAUUUAAUAGCAGAUAUAUUCCUGCAAAGUUCAACUUUCAUAAGUUAUCGUUGCAAAAGCCCUAAUGUAUUCAGAUAUGUCCCUCUGGUUUGGAUCGGUUAGAGAACUGUUAAUUUUUUAACAGUAGAGUUGUGAAAUAACUAUUUUGCCCUUGCCCCUUCCUCUUCCUCUUCAUACUGUGGGAGCGGACGGCGGCCGCGGCAACGGCGACGGCGACUUUGCGGAGCUUGUCGGGUUGGGGCUAAUGAGGACAAGGAAGAGGAGGAAGGCGAAGGUGCGUCGAUGCCGUUGGAGACGCCCAUGACGAUGGCCCAUGCGCCCACGAUGGCGACGAUGAUCGGAUCAUCAACGACGACAACGACGAAGAAGAAGAAGAAGGAGGAGAAAAGGAGGAGGAAAAUGAGAUUGCUCUGAAGGGAGGAUGGCAGUGAGGAUUGUGGAUGAAUGGGCUCAGAUCUGGGGAUAAUUCGGUAGGGAAAUGGUAGAAGAAUUAGAGCUAGAGAAGAGAGGUAGGGAAGAGAUGGGUCUGAGGAAGAAGAAGAUAGAAUUAGUAGGAAGAGAAAUUAUCAAUUCAUU